RNAcentral lists this transfer RNA (77 nucleotides) under Vibrio cholerae BJG-01. Its description in RNAcentral is "tRNA-Val". It matches the Rfam family "tRNA". From Rfam's summary of the family: Transfer RNA (tRNA) molecules are approximately 80 nucleotides in length. Their secondary structure includes four short double-helical elements and three loops (D, anti-codon, and T loops). The record is from RNAcentral. Lineage: Bacteria; Pseudomonadati; Pseudomonadota; Gammaproteobacteria; Vibrionales; Vibrionaceae.
GCGUCUAUAGCUCAGUUGGUUAGAGCACCACCUUGACAUGGUGGGGGUCGGUGGUUCAAGUCCACUUAGACGCACCA